AACGCGAAGAACCUUACCAAGGCUUGACAUAUAGCGAAAAGUGACAGAGAUGUCAUGUCCGCAAGGGCGCUAUACAGGUGGUGCAUGGUUGUCGUCAGCUCGUGUCGUGAGAUGUUGGGUUAAGUCCCGCAACGAGCGCAACCCUCGUUCUGUGUUGCCAGCAUUUAGUUGGGGACUCACAGGAGACUGCCGGGGUCAACUCGGAGGAAGGUGGGGAUGACGUCAAAUCAUCAUGCCCCUUAUGUCUUGGGCUGCACGCAUGCUACAAUGGCCGGUACAAAGGGCUGCGAAACCGUAAGGUGGAGCGAAUCCCAUAAAGCCGGCCUCAGUUCGGAUUGGGGUCUGCAACUCGACCCCAUGAAGUUGGAGUUGCUAGUAAUCGUAGAUCAGCAACGCUACGGUGAAUACGUUCCCGGGUCUUGUACACACCG
RNAcentral lists this ribosomal RNA (431 nucleotides) under uncultured bacterium. RNAcentral describes it as "bacterial SSU rRNA". It matches the Rfam family "Bacterial small subunit ribosomal RNA", at positions 958 to 1392 of the family's 1533-position model. The record is from RNAcentral.